CAGUGUCUUCCCAGAGUCCAGCCAGUGGCCCAGAGCCCACGGCAAUGUCUCAUGUUUGUCCCUAUCACGGAUCCACACCCGGAAGGCCCAAAGGCCAGUAUUAGAAGCCAGAGCUAGAACGCUAGAGCUCCCUUGAGGAGAACAGCAGCCAUUUCCAGCGACAGCUAGGACCCGAGCACCUCUCCGAGGACUAGAAUAGCGAAGUUCGCAUCAGGAAAACCAACCGCUGCAAGCUUCUCCUAGAAAAUCAACAGGAGCGGAUCCUCCACUCCUGUCCUCUUUUAUGCUGCUGCUAACACUCCUCAGAAAAAGUCCAGGACAUCUGCAAAGGGUGAAGGUUAGGAGCUCAGCUCAGUAUGCCCAGGGCAGUCAGAAUGGAAGAAGGAACUACAGCCCGGAAGAAGAAGAAAGAAGGAAGAUGAAGGAGGAAGAAGGAGGAGGAAAAAGAAGAAAGAGGAGGAAGGAGAAAGAGGAAUAAAGAAGGAGGAGAAAAAAAAUUACUAGACAGGUGGCAACCACCUUACAGCACAAGAAGGAAGUGUGACUGAAAAUGGAGCAAAAUGUCAGAGGACCAAUACUUGAAGAAAACAAUUGGAUCAAGGGACAUUGACUCUGUGAAUCAAGCAGCUAUUAAAAAAAAAAUCAAG
Molecule: long non-coding RNA, 647 nt
Organism: Heterocephalus glaber (naked mole-rat)
Lineage: Eukaryota; Metazoa; Chordata; Mammalia; Rodentia; Bathyergidae
Source: Ensembl